RNAcentral lists this long non-coding RNA (870 nucleotides) under Monodelphis domestica (gray short-tailed opossum). RNAcentral describes it as "lncRNA (ENSMODG00000030183.2)". Lineage: Eukaryota; Metazoa; Chordata; Mammalia; Didelphimorphia; Didelphidae. The record is from RNAcentral.
AAAGGCAUUAUUAUUGUACAAAUCCCAGGCAUAGGGAGGAAAUCACAGUAUGAGUGAAAAAUGGGUUGGUAAGAAAAGGGGCACUGCAGAACUUGGGCCAAGGAACUCAGAUGCUGUGUGUUCAGAGAGAUCAAAGGAAUCUGAAGGAAAUUACUAAUCCCAAUCAGGUGGAAAUGAGUGAAUCUGUGCUCCAUAAAUAUAUAGAAAUAUACCUGCUGUUCAUAGAAAAUCUCUUGGCAAAAAGAUCAAAGGACUUCAGAGAUAUUUUCCAUGACAUGCUCAUGAGAUUGAAUGGCGUGGGGACAGGUCUUCUCUUAUCCCUGUUGUCCAGUGAGGAAGUUGAAGAUACAGAGACAGAACAUGAAGGGUCAAAGAAUAAUUCCUGGGGAAUAAUCACAAUGAUCAGGAUGGGAGUAGGAAGAAGAAUCACAGAAGGAGACAUAACCUUUUGACUAAGCUGUUGAAGACUACUAAACCAAACUUCAACUCCCUAGAAAAGGAAGCGUUGCUGACUCCAUUCAAACAGAGGAAGUGACUGACCAUUGGAUCACAGAUUUAAUACUAGAAGAAACUUUUGAGACCCACUUGUCCAACUCACUCAUUUUGAAGAUGAAGAAAAAGGACUUGUUCAAGGUCGUAUAGUCAUAUAUGUCACUGAGUACAAUAGACAGGUUUUUGAAUCCAAAUCCUCUGACUCCCAAAACAGCAUUCUUCUCAUUGUAGCACUAUAAAAGGGUCAUAUAUCUAGGAUCUUGGAGAAUUUGUAUUGAGGAAGGAAAGAAGAGAGAGGAGAGAAGAGGAGAAGAGAGGAGACGAAAGAAAAGGAGAGGAGAGGAAGGAAGAGGAAAAUAAAAAGACAAAGAAGAGUCA